UUUGAUCCUGGCUCAGGAUGAACGCUAGCGGCAGGCCUAACACAUGCAAGUCGAGGGGCAGCGGGUGUAGCAAUACAUGCCGGCGACCGGCGCACGGGUGAGUAACGCGUAUGCAAUCUAACCCUUUACAGUGGGAUAGCUCAGGGAAACCUGAAUUAAUACCGCAUGAGACUACACGAUGGCAUCAAAGAGUAGUUAAAGUUUUAACGGUAAAGGAUAAGCAUGCGUGACAUUAGCUAGUUGGUGAGGUAAUGGCUCACCAAGGCUACGAUGUCUAAGGGGUCUGAGAGGAUGAUCCCUCACACUGGUACUGAGACACGGACCAGACUCCUACGGGAGGCAGCAGUGAGGAAUAUUGGUCAAUGGGGGCAACCCUGAACCAGCCAUGCCGCGUGAAGGAAGACGGCCCUAAGGGUUGUAAACUUCUUUUGUACUGGGGUAAAAGUAGGUUUGCGAACUUACGUGAAAGUACAGUACGAAUAAGCAUCGGCUAACUCCGUGCCAGCAGCCGCGGUAAUACGGAGGAUGCGAGCGUUAUCCGGAUUUAUUGGGUUUAAAGGGUGCGUAGGCGGAUAUUUAAGUCAGUGGUGAAAGACUGUUGCUUAACGAUAGCAUUGCCAUUGAUACUGAGUAUCUUGAGUAUAAUUGAGGUAGGCGGAAUGUGUAGUGUAGCGGUGAAAUGCUUAGAUAUUACACAGAACACCGAUUGCGAAGGCAGCUUACUAAAUUAGAACUGACGCUGAGGCACGAAAGCGUGGGGAUCAAACAGGAUUAGAUACCCUGGUAGUCCACGCCGUAAACGAUGAUCACUGGAUGUUUGCAAUACAUAGUAAGCGUCUGAGAAAAGCA
Molecule: ribosomal RNA, 849 nt
Filed under: uncultured bacterium
Lineage: Bacteria
Description: bacterial SSU rRNA
Rfam family: Bacterial small subunit ribosomal RNA
Source: RNAcentral